UAAUACGUAGGAUGCAAGCGUUGUCCGGAAUUAUUGGGCGUAAAGAGUUCGUAGGCGGUUGCCUAAGUCUGGUGUUAAAUACAGGAGCUCAACUCCUGCAUGGCAUUGGAAACUGGGCGGCUAGAGUGUGGUAGAGGUCACGGGAAUUCCAGGUGUAGCGGUGAAAUGCGUAGAUAUCUGGAGGAACACCAGUGGCGAAAGCGCGUGACUGGACCAUAACUGACGCUGAGGAACGAAAGCCAGGGUAGCGAAAGGGAUUAGAUACCCCUGUAGUCCUGGCCGUAAACGAUGGAUACUAGGUGUAGGAGGAUUCGACCCCUUCUGUGCCGUAGCUAACGCGCUAAGUAUCCCGCCUGGGGAGUACGGCCGCAAGGUUG
RNAcentral lists this ribosomal RNA (377 nucleotides) under uncultured bacterium. RNAcentral's name for it is "bacterial SSU rRNA". It matches the Rfam family "Bacterial small subunit ribosomal RNA", at positions 521 to 896 of the family's 1533-position model. The record is from RNAcentral.